This 453-nucleotide ribosomal RNA is filed under the name uncultured bacterium. Its description in RNAcentral is "bacterial SSU rRNA". It matches the Rfam family "Bacterial small subunit ribosomal RNA", at positions 29 to 486 of the family's 1533-position model. The record is from RNAcentral.
AGCGAACGUUUGCGGCGGGCCUAACACAUGCAAGUCGAACGCACUAGCAAUAGUGAGUGGCGCACGGGUGCGUAACACGUGGGUAAUCAACCCUUCAGCCUGGGAUAACGACUCGAAAGGGUCGCUAAUACCGGAUACGGCGCGAGAGGCUUCGGCUUCUCACGAGAAAGCCACGCAAGGGGCACUGAAGGACGAGCCUGCGGCCCAUCAGCUAGUUGGUGAGGUAAGAGCUCACCAAGGCUAAGACGGGUAGCUGGUCUGAGAGGAUGAUCAGCCACACUGGAACUGAGACACGGUCCAGACUCCUACGGGAGGCAGCAGUGGGGAAUAUUGCGCAAUGGGCGAAAGCCUGACGCAGCCACGCCGCGUGAGCGAUGAAGGCCUGGUCGUAAAGACUCUGUGGGAGAGACGAAGAAGACCGUCGAAGAGCAGGCCUUGACGGUAGUCUCCUUA